AAUCCAUAGGUUAAUGAGGCGAACCGGGGGAACUGAAACAUCUAAGUACCCCGAGGAAAAGAAAUCAACCGAGAUUCCCCCAGUAGCGGCGAGCGAACGGGGAGGAGCCCAGAGCCUGAAUCAGCAUGUGUGUUAGUGGAAGCGUCUGGAAAGGCGCGCGAUACAGGGUGACAGCCCCGUACACAAAAGCGCAUGUGCUGUGAGCUCGAUGAGUAGGGCGGGACACGUGGUAUCCUGUCUGAAUAUGGGGGGACCAUCCUCCAAGGCUAAAUACUCCUGACUGACCGAUAGUGAACCAGUACCGUGAGGGAAAGGCGAAAAGAACCCCGGCGAGGGGAGUGAAAAAGAACCUGAAACCGUGUACGUACAAGCAGUGGGAGCCCCACCACCAAAGCAUUCUCUGGUGUUGAAGGCCCUGCAAAGCAGCAUCGCGGUGGCGGAGCGUCGUUUGCGACGCCCAACACACAAAACAAGCGGUGAGUGCUUUGGGGUGGGGUGACUGCGUACCUUUUGUAUAAUGGGUCAGCGACUUAUAUUCUGUAGCAAGGUUAACCGUAUAGGGGAGCCGUAGGGAAACCGAGUCUUAACCGGGCGUUAAGUUGCAGGGUAUAGACCCGAAACCCGGUGAUCUAGCCAUGGGCAGGUUGAAGGUUGGGUAACACUAACUGGAGGACCGAACCGACUAAUGUUGAAAAAUUAGCGGAUGACCUGUGGCUGGGGGUGAAAGGCCAAUCAAACCGGGAGAUAGCUGGUUCUCCCCGAAAGCUAUUUAGGUAGCGCCUCGUGAAUUCAUCUCCGGGGGUAGAGCACUGUUUCGGCUAGGGGGCCAUCCCGGCUUACCAACCCGAUGCAAACUGCGAAUACCGGAGAAUGUUAUCACGGGAGACACACGGCGGGUGCUAACGUCCGUCGUGAAGAGGGAAACAACCCAGACCGCCAGCUAAGGUCCCAAAGUCAUGGUUAAGUGGGAAACGAUGUGGGAAGGCCCAGACAGCCAGGAUGUUGGCUUAGAAGCAGCCAUCAUUUAAAGAAAGCGUAAUAGCUCACUGGUCGAGUCGGCCUGCGCGGAAGAUGUAACGGGGCUAAACCAUGCACCGAAGCUGCGGCAGCGACACUCAGGUGUUGUUGGGUAGGGGAGCGUUCUGUAAGCCUGUGAAGGUGGCCUGUGAGGGUUGCUGGAGGUAUCAGAAGUGCGAAUGCUGACAUAAGUAACGAUAAAGCGGGUGAAAAGCCCGCUCGCCGGAAGACCAAGGGUUCCUGUCCAACGUUAAUCGGGGCAGGGUGAGUCGACCCCUAAGGCGAGGCCGAAAGGCGUAGUCGAUGGGAAACGGGUUAAUAUUCCCGUACUUGGUGUUACUGCGAAGGGGGGACGGAGAAGGCUAUGUUGGCCGGGCGACGGUUGUCCCGGUUUAAGCGUGUAGGUGUGUGUUCCAGGUAAAUCCGGUUCACUUUAACACUGAGGCGUGACGACGAGGCACUACGGUGCUGAAGCAACAAAUGCCCUGCUUCCAGGAAAAGCCUCUAAGCAUCAGGUAACAUCAAAUCGUACCCCAAACCGACACAGGUGGUCAGGUAGAGAAUACCAAGGCGCUUGAGAGAACUCGGGUGAAGGAACUAGGCAAAAUGGUGCCGUAACUUCGGGAGAAGGCACGCUGACACGUAGGUGAAGUGAUUUACUCAUGGAGCUGAAGUCAGUCGAAGAUACCAGCUGGCUGCAACUGUUUAUUAAAAACACAGCACUGUGCAAACACGAAAGUGGACGUAUACGGUGUGACGCCUGCCCGGUGCCGGAAGGUUAAUUGAUGGGGUCAGCGCAAGCGAAGCUCCUGAUCGAAGCCCCGGUAAACGGCGGCCGUAACUAUAACGGUCCUAAGGUAGCGAAAUUCCUUGUCGGGUAAGUUCCGACCUGCACGAAUGGCGUAAUGAUGGCCAGGCUGUCUCCACCCGAGACUCAGUGAAAUUGAACUCGCUGUGAAGAUGCAGUGUACCCGCGGCAAGACGGAAAGACCCCGUGAACCUUUACUAUAGCUUGACACUGAACAUUGAGCCUUGAUGUGUAG
RNAcentral lists this ribosomal RNA (2060 nucleotides) under Salmonella enterica subsp. enterica serovar Virchow. RNAcentral describes it as "partial 23S ribosomal RNA". It matches the Rfam family "Bacterial large subunit ribosomal RNA", at positions 161 to 2141 of the family's 2925-position model. The record is from RNAcentral. Lineage: Bacteria; Pseudomonadati; Pseudomonadota; Gammaproteobacteria; Enterobacterales; Enterobacteriaceae.